This 452-nucleotide ribosomal RNA is filed under the name uncultured Xanthobacter sp. RNAcentral describes it as "bacterial SSU rRNA". It matches the Rfam family "Bacterial small subunit ribosomal RNA", at positions 929 to 1382 of the family's 1533-position model. The record is from RNAcentral. Lineage: Bacteria; Pseudomonadati; Pseudomonadota; Alphaproteobacteria; Hyphomicrobiales; Xanthobacteraceae.
GCGGUGGAGCAUGUGGUUUAAUUCGAAGCAACGCGCAGAACCUUACCAGCCUUUGACAUGGCAGGACGAUUUUCAGAGAUGGAUCUCUUCCAGCAAUGGACCUGCACACAGGUGCUGCAUGGCUGUCGUCAGCUCGUGUCGUGAGAUGUGGGUUAAGUCCCGCAACGAGCGCAACCCUCGCCUUUAGUUGCCAUCAUUCAGUUGGGCACUCUAAAGGGACUGCCGGCGAUAAGCCGCGAGGAAGUGGGGAUGACGUCAAGUCCUCAUGGCCCUUACGGGCUGGGCUACACACGUGCUACAAUGGCGGUGACAGUGGGAUGCAAAGGGGCGACCCCUCGCAAAUCUCAAAAAGCCGUCUCAGUUCGGAUUGUACUCUGCAACUCGAGUGCAUGAAGUUGGAAUCGCUAGUAAUCGUGGAUCAGCAUGCCACGGUGAAUACGUUCCCGGGCCUU